This 460-nucleotide ribosomal RNA is filed under the name uncultured bacterium. Its description in RNAcentral is "partial 16S ribosomal RNA". It matches the Rfam family "Bacterial small subunit ribosomal RNA", at positions 338 to 795 of the family's 1533-position model. The record is from RNAcentral.
CCUACGGGUGGCUGCAGUGAGGAAUAUUGGUCAAUGGACGCGAGCCUGAACCAGCCAAGUAGCGUGAAGGAUGACUGCCCUACGGGUUGUAAACUUCUUUUAUAAAGGAAUAAAGUGAGGCACGUGUGCCUUUUUGUAUGUACUUUAUGAAUAAGGAUCGGCUAACUCCGUGCCAGCAGCCGCGGUAAUACGGAGGAUCCGAGCGUUAUCCGGAUUUAUUGGGUUUAAAGGGAGCGUAGAUGGGUUGUUAAGUCAGUUGUGAAAGUUUGCGGCUCAACCGUAAAAUUGCAAUUGAUACUGGAAGUCUUGAGUACAGUUGAGGUAGGCGGAAUUCGUGGUGUAGCGGUGAAAUGCUUAGAUAUCACGAAGAACCCCGAUUGCGAAGGCAGCUUACUAAACUGUGACUGACACUGAUGCUCGAAAGUGUGGGUAUCAAACAGGAUUAGAUACCCUUGUAGUC